UACAGAGGGUGCAAGCGUUGUUCGGAAUUAUUGGGCGUAAAGCGCGUGUAGGCGGCUUUGCAAGUCGGGUGUGAAAUCCCUCAGCUUAACUGAGGAAGUGCGCCCGAAACUGCCGAGCUUGAGUGCCGGAGAGGAUGGCGGAAUUCCCCAAGUAGAGGUGAAAUUCGUAGAUAUGGGGAGGAACACCGGUGGCGAAGGCGGCCAUCUGGACGGUGACUGACGCUGAGACGCGAAAGCUAGGGGAGCAAACAGG
This 253-nucleotide ribosomal RNA is filed under the name uncultured bacterium. RNAcentral's name for it is "partial 16S ribosomal RNA". It matches the Rfam family "Bacterial small subunit ribosomal RNA", at positions 524 to 776 of the family's 1533-position model. The record is from RNAcentral.